CCUACGGGUGGCAGCAGUGAGGAAUAUUGGUCAAUGGCCGGAAGGCUGAACCAGCAAUGCCGCGUGAAGGUCAGUGCCCUUUGGGCGUUAAACUUCUUUUGUGCGGGAGCAAUAAUGGUCACGUGUGGCCAGACGAGAGUACCGUACGAAUAAGCAUCGGCUAACUCCGGGCCAGCAGCCGCGGUAAUACGGGGGAUGCAAGCGUUAUACGGAUUUUUUGGGGUUAAAGGGUGCGUAGGCUGUGAGGUAAAUCAGAGGUGAAAUGCCCCCGCUCAACGGGGUGAAGUGCCAUUGAUACUGCCUUGCUGGAGUGCGGGUGAGGUGGGAGGAAUGUGUGGUGUAGCGGUGAAAUGCGUAGAUAUCAGGCAGAACACCGAGUGCGAAGGCAUCUCACGGAUCCGCGAUUGACGCUGAGGCACGAAAGCGUGGGUAUCAAACAGGAUUAGAUACCCGAGUAGUC
This 460-nucleotide ribosomal RNA is filed under the name uncultured bacterium. RNAcentral describes it as "partial 16S ribosomal RNA". It matches the Rfam family "Bacterial small subunit ribosomal RNA", at positions 338 to 795 of the family's 1533-position model. The record is from RNAcentral.